RNAcentral lists this ribosomal RNA (213 nucleotides) under Triticum aestivum (bread wheat). RNAcentral's name for it is "partial small subunit ribosomal RNA". Lineage: Eukaryota; Viridiplantae; Streptophyta; Magnoliopsida; Poales; Poaceae. The record is from RNAcentral.
GCCAGAUUUUUCUGGGCUGGCGAGGCAGGCAGACAGAAAUAUCACAUGGUCAGCUGGCCAGACAUCUGCAAACCCAAAGACCAGGGUGGCCUUGGGAUUUUGUCCUCUCGGCGCAUGAACAUCGCCCUCCUCACCCGCUGGCUAUGGCGCAUUGCCAAUGGGGAGGGAGGCCUUUGGUUGACUAUCAUCCGGAACAAGUACCUGCGUGGCUAG